GUGGGGAAUAUUGGACAAUGGGCGCAAGCCUGAUCCAGCAAUGCCGCGUGUGUGAAGAAGGUCUUCGGAUUGUAAAGCACUUUCGACGGGGACGAUGAUGACGGUACCCGUAGAAGAAGCCCCGGCUAACUUCGUGCCAGCAGCCGCGGUAAUACGAAGGGGGCUAGCGUUGCUCGGAAUGACUGGGCGUAAAGGGCGCGUAGGCGGAUUGUACAGUCAGAUGUGAAAUUCCCGGGCUCAACCUGGGGGCUGCAUUUGAUACGUAUGGUCUAGAGUCCGGAAGAGGGUGGUGGAAUUCCCAGUGUAGAGGUGAAAUUCGUAGAUAUUGGGAAGAACACCGGUGGCGAAGGCGGCCACCUGGUCCGGUACUGACGCUGAGGCGCGAAAGCGUGGGGAGCAAACAGGAUUAGAAACCCCAGUAGUCC
This 425-nucleotide ribosomal RNA is filed under the name uncultured bacterium. Its description in RNAcentral is "bacterial SSU rRNA". It matches the Rfam family "Bacterial small subunit ribosomal RNA", at positions 354 to 796 of the family's 1533-position model. The record is from RNAcentral.